GACGAACGCUGGCGGCGUGCUUAACACAUGCAAGUCGAACGGAAAGGCCCUGCUUUUGUGGGGUGCUCGAGUGGCGAACGGGUGAGUAACACGUGAGUAACCUGCCCUUGACUUUGGGAUAACUUCAGGAAACUGGGGCUAAUACCGGAUAGGAGCUCCUGCUGCAUGGUGGGGGUUGGAAAGUUUCGGCGGUUGGGGAUGGACUCGCGGCUUAUCAGCUUGUUGGUGGGGUAGUGGCUUACCAAGGCUUUGACGGGUAGCCGGCCUGAGAGGGUGACCGGCCACAUUGGGACUGAGAUACGGCCCAGCCUACUACGGGAGGCAGCAGUGGGGAAUAUUGCACAAUGGGCGGAAGCCUGAUGCAGCAACGCCGCGUGCGGGAUGACGGCCUUCGGGUUGUAAACCGCUUUCGCCUGUGACGAAGCGUGAGUGACGGUAAUGGGUAAAGAAGCACCGGCUAACUACGUG
RNAcentral lists this ribosomal RNA (468 nucleotides) under uncultured bacterium. RNAcentral describes it as "partial 16S ribosomal RNA". It matches the Rfam family "Bacterial small subunit ribosomal RNA", at positions 28 to 507 of the family's 1533-position model. The record is from RNAcentral.